Molecule: long non-coding RNA, 336 nt
Filed under: Lathyrus oleraceus (garden pea)
Lineage: Eukaryota; Viridiplantae; Streptophyta; Magnoliopsida; Fabales; Fabaceae
Description: Pisum sativum (pea) long non-coding RNA (PSAT_LNC004311)
Source: RNAcentral
GGCGCCUCCUGUUUCGUAUCCCGGUGGUGCUCCGGUUAUGCGUCCUCCUGGUCAGAUGCCUUAUCCUGGACAAGGUCCACCUCCGAUGGGGAGGGGUCCUCCUCCACCUAUGCCGCCUGGACAAUUUCCUCAGAGACCAGGUGGUCCUCCACCACAAUUUUCCAUGCCGCCUCCUCAGUAUGGGCAGAGACCUAUGGGCCCACCUCCUCCUGGACAGAUGGUUAGAGGACCUCCUCCUCCACCUCGUCCUGGAAUGCAAGCACCACCACGUCCUGGCAUGCCUCCUCCUCCUGGAAGCGGUGUUCCGGUGUAUGGUCCACCUCGGCCUGGCAUGCC